GAUGAACGCUAGCGGCAGGCCUAAUACAUGCAAGCUGAACGGCAAGUUGAAUAGCAAUAUUUGACCUAGAGUAGCGUAAGGGUGCGUAACACGUAUGCAAUCUGCCCGCAACAGGAGGAUAGCUUGAUGAAAGUUGAGAUAAGACUCCAUAAGAUCACAGGAGGGCAUCUGAUAGUGAUUAAACUACAAGGGGUUNCGGAUGAGCAUGCGCAUGAUUAGUAGU
This 223-nucleotide ribosomal RNA is filed under the name uncultured bacterium. RNAcentral's name for it is "partial 16S ribosomal RNA". It matches the Rfam family "Bacterial small subunit ribosomal RNA", at positions 28 to 249 of the family's 1533-position model. The record is from RNAcentral.